Molecule: ribosomal RNA, 490 nt
Filed under: uncultured bacterium
Lineage: Bacteria
Description: partial 16S ribosomal RNA
Rfam family: Bacterial small subunit ribosomal RNA
Source: RNAcentral
AUUGAACGCUGGCGGCAGGCCUAACACAUGCAAGUCAAACGGUAACAGGAAGAAGCUUGCUUCUUUGCUGACGAGUGGCGGACGGGUGAGUAAUGUCUGGGAAACUGCCUGAUGGAGGGGGAUAACUACUGGAAACGGUAGCUAAUACCGCAUAACGUCGCAAGACCAAAGAGGGGGACCUUCGGGCCUCUUGCCAUCGGAUGUGCCCAGAUGGGAUUAGCUAGUAGGUGGGGUAACGGCUCACCUAGGCGACGAUCCCUAGCUGGUCUGAGAGGAUGACCAGCCACACUGGAACUGAGACACGGUCCAGACUCCUACGGGAGGCAGCAGUGGGGAAUAUUGCACAAUGGGCGCAAGCCUGAUGCAGCCAUGCCGCGUGUAUGAAGAAGGCCUUCAGGUUGUAAAGUACUUUCAGCGGGGAGGAAGGGAGUAAAGUUAAUACCUUUACUCAUUGACGUUACCCGCAGAAGAAGCACCGGCUAACUCCGUG